This 433-nucleotide ribosomal RNA is filed under the name uncultured bacterium. RNAcentral's name for it is "partial 16S ribosomal RNA". It matches the Rfam family "Bacterial small subunit ribosomal RNA", at positions 29 to 507 of the family's 1533-position model. The record is from RNAcentral.
AACGAACGCUGGCGGCAUGCCUAACACAUGCAAGUCGAACGAGACCUUCGGGUCUAGUGGCGCACGGGUGCGUAACGCGUGGGAACCUGCCCUUAGGUUCGGAAUAACUCCCCGAAAGGGGUGCUAAUACCGGAUAAUGUCUUCGGACCAAAGAUUUAUCGCCUUUGGAUGGGCCCGCGUUGGAUUAGCUCGUUGUUAGGGUAAAAGCCUACCAAGGCGACGAUCCAUAGCUGGUCUGAGAGGAUGAUCAGCCACACUGGGACUGAGACACGGCCCAGACUCCUACGGGAGGCAGCAGUGGGGAAUAUUGGACAAUGGGCGAAAGCCUGAUCCAGCAAGGCCGCGUGAGUGAUGAAGGCCUUAGGGUUGUAAAGCUCUUUUAACCGGGAUGAUAAUGACAGUACCGGGAGAAUAAGCCCCGGCUAACUCCGUG